UUCAAUGGAGGUGGUCAAACACUUGUUGUAUAUAACUCUCUGUAGAUUACUCAAACAAGCGCUGAUAAUAUGAGACAUCAUGAUAACAAGUCCUUCAAACAAGCUUUUACUCAUCUGGUAAUUUCUGCUUUCUUCAUUUAGCAAAAGAGUUUUACUUAUUCUAUACAUGGAGUUUGCAGCCAGUACCUUAAUGGGCCAUUUUGAAGCGCUUUCUUUCCAACAUCCAUUUACAGUUGGCCUAUUGAAUUCUAAAAGCCUAUUCUUUGCAUUGUCAGCAAGCUCUUCGAGUGUGUCCUUUGGACUUCUCCUUUGGAGGGCCAGUUUGUGGAGGUCAACAUCAAGCCAUUUGUGAUAGAGAUCGACUCCCAGCCACACAAAAUCUGCAGUCCUUGUGAUGUUUCUCAAUU
Molecule: long non-coding RNA, 407 nt
Filed under: Carica papaya (papaya)
Lineage: Eukaryota; Viridiplantae; Streptophyta; Magnoliopsida; Brassicales; Caricaceae
Description: long non-coding RNA (CPAP_LNC010374)
Source: RNAcentral